GGAUGAACGCUGGCGGCGUGCUUAACACAUGCAAGUCGAACGAAGCACUUUAUUUGAUUUCCUUCGGGACUGAUUAUUUUGUGACUGAGUGGCGGACGGGUGAGUAACGCGUGGGUAACCUGCCUUGUACAGGGGGAUAACAGUUGGAAACGGCUGCUAAUACCGCAUAAGCGCACAGCAUCGCAUGAUGCAGUGUGAAAAACUCCGGUGGUAUAAGAUGGACCCGCGUUGGAUUAGCUAGUUGGUGAGGUAACGGCCCACCAAGGCGACGAUCCAUAGCCGACCUGAGAGGGUGACCGGCCACAUUGGGGCUGAGACACGGCCCAAACUCCUACGGGAGGCAGCAGUGGGGAAUAUUGCACAAUGGGCGAAAGCCUGAUGCAGCGACGCCGCGUGAGCGAAGAAGUAUUUCGGUAUGUAAAGCUCUAUCAGCAGGGAAGAUAAUGACGGUACCUGACUAAGAAGCACCGGCUAAAUACGUG
This 482-nucleotide ribosomal RNA is filed under the name uncultured bacterium. Its description in RNAcentral is "partial 16S ribosomal RNA". It matches the Rfam family "Bacterial small subunit ribosomal RNA", at positions 27 to 507 of the family's 1533-position model. The record is from RNAcentral.